Eucalyptus grandis is the source of this 714-nucleotide long non-coding RNA. RefSeq lists it as uncharacterized. The record is from RefSeq and is a predicted model, not a curated record. Lineage: Eukaryota; Viridiplantae; Streptophyta; Magnoliopsida; Myrtales; Myrtaceae. The transcript is spliced from 4 exons.
UUGCUGAGCUUGUGCCAUGAUUCGCAGGGCCUUUUCCUAUCAGUUCUUCAGCAGGAGGCAGAAACUCGUUUAGCGGGUUAUAGGCCAAUUACAGCUUUGGUAGCUAGGCCAUGGUGCCUGAUGGAGAUCUGCUCAAAAGAAGAGAUAAUAGAUAUCGUAACUGACCCAAGCAUUGAAACCACAAAAAUAGGCAUGGAAGCUAGGUACGGUUGCUGCCAAGCAAUACACAAGCUUUCACACGUUCAACCAAACUGAUGAACGAUCCUUCUCUGGCUGGAAUUGCUAGCAAGUUGCAAGAUGCUGUAAGAAGGGGUCCCUUUCUUGCAAGAAGGCGUCCCGAGGCUCAACCUUUUGUAAUGACAGCCGAAAGAUUCUAGACAAAGUCAAUCUCCCAGAACUCGGGAGGAGCAUAUAAUAGUCCCUGCUCAAGGCCGUCUUUCUUCUUUGUGCUCGGAAAAAACAUGCCCGCUUCGGAGGCUUGCUUGAAUUAUGGAGUUUUCGGACAUGAACGGAACUUGUAAAUCUCAGCAGGUUAUAGGAGCCAACUUUUGGUUAAUCCCCUGAAGUAAAAGCGUACUGCCAUCGUCUCGUUAUCUCCGGGGUGGGAUCUCUAUGCAACCAUUUUUGGGGAUUGAAAUGAUGCAGUGUGGCCAGUAUUUUAGAGACCAACGACAGAGAUUGCUAAACCACCAACGUGAUUAGCAACUUGCACCA